Molecule: long non-coding RNA, 968 nt
Organism: Sturnus vulgaris (Common starling)
Lineage: Eukaryota; Metazoa; Chordata; Aves; Passeriformes; Sturnidae
Source: RefSeq, a predicted model, not a curated record
GGUCAGUACUUGGUGGGAAGGAGUAGCUGUCACUGCUGAAUGACAAAGCAUCUGUGUGUAAAUCGAUAAUUCUCUUCAUAAAUGUCCACUUCUGCUAAUUUAACUCAGAAAAGCACAGUACUCCAUCCACACAGAAGCAAGGAGUAUAUCUGGGAAUGUGCUGCAAAGGAAGGGUUUGGACAAAGCAAGAACUAUGGUAGGAGCACAACAGCUAAAAUUAUAUCAGUUCUUUCUAUAAGGAAGUGCCACUUCCUGGGAAUAAAUUGCUUUCCACAUUAAAUAUUUCACUGCUUAGAGCUGUGUUUGUUGCAGCAAAGUUUUAAAAUUACAUUGAGGGUUAAUUAAUACUGUUGGCAUCUUCUAUUAAGACUUGUAGGCUUUCUGGAACAAAUUUGCUCCCUACUUUUUUCCUCCUUACUGAGUUUUGCAGUUUUUUUAGACUCCCUUGUUAAAUAGUGGUAGUUACCUUACAGUAACUACAGUCAAUUAAUCUGGAGCUCAGAAGUUACCUGGAAAAAUUCCUACAGCUGGAGCAGUUAGCAGGGACAAAUUCAGAAUCAAUAUGAGUAACAAAACUAAUUGGCAAAACAGAUGUGAAAAAAGCAAAUGCCAACAGCAAGCUUUAUUCAGAUUGUCAGCCAAACUGAGGAUUACUUCUUGUGGAGCUGUGAAAGAGCCUAGCAAACAGCAUCUGGGAAUUGGGAGCUCCUGGAGGUGCUGGGAUACAAUGUAUGGAGAUGCAAUUGUUCCAGGCUAGAGCUGCACCUACAGGAUCUUGCCCCCUGAAUUGAGCCUGGAUCUGCCUGCUGGGCAAGAGGACUUGCUGUGUGCUCUGGUUCUCUGGUCAGCAACACUGGAGAUAAAAAGGAGCAGUGAUCAAUUUACAGAUUUAUGUGAGGUGAGGGAAAAAAGCCACUACCUUUGUGUGACACUUUGACCCAUUCUGCCACUAGACUCACACUCGGCCC